RNAcentral lists this non-coding RNA (45 nucleotides) under Schistosoma mattheei. Lineage: Eukaryota; Metazoa; Platyhelminthes; Trematoda; Strigeidida; Schistosomatidae. The record is from RNAcentral.
AUCCAGUCGACGAAUCCCAAACAGGAUGAAACACAUGUCCUAGAU